This 823-nucleotide long non-coding RNA is filed under the name Ananas comosus (pineapple). Its description in RNAcentral is "long non-coding RNA (ACOM_LNC005041)". The record is from RNAcentral. Lineage: Eukaryota; Viridiplantae; Streptophyta; Magnoliopsida; Poales; Bromeliaceae.
CAAUAGUCCCACAUCGGAUGGGAAUGGGGUUGUCAUUGGGUUUAUAUGAGACUUAGACACUAGUAAUAAUAACUGGGCUUAAGCAUUUUGGGCUGUGGUUGGGCCCAACGAGUUAUUAUUGCUAGUGGGCUGGGUCGUUUCAGUGGCACUCGUAGGCGCUACCCAACUGAGUAUGCAAACGUGUCUCUGCCGAGCUCAAUCAGGCUCUCACAGACUAUAAUCAAAGCAAAUUGGUUUAACUGGUCUAACAACCAAAUCUCACGUGCCCUCGGCACAAUCUGAUGCAAAAACAGCAAUCUGAGUCCACCGUCAACCGCGACGUCACCCGACAGUCAGAAACAGUCUACACACUAUUGUAAAAUAAGCUCGGCAUCCCAGCACGAGCGUUAACUCGUCUUAUACUAAUCUGGGUAUCUACCGCAUACAAAUAGCGGCGAUACAAAUGAACCACAGCGCCUAACGCCAUCUGAGUAUCACAUGCGCACUAACAGCGUGGAUACAAAACGCAACAGCUUUAGAAAACUAUCUGAAUAUCAAAUGCGCACUAACAGCGUGGAGACAAAGCGCAACAGCUUCAGAAGCUAUCUGAGUAUCAAAUGCGGACUAACGGUAUGAAUACAAAGCACAACAGCUUCAGAAGCUAAAUCUUGUAACUUUUCAUAAAGUGACAGUGCAGGAUCUAUAUGUUUUCUCCUAAGUCAAUUCCAAGUCCAACAUGUAAAAUCAAACUACUAGCUUAACUUCAAAUUCAGAUUUAAAUACUAUUCCAUGAAUUCGAAUACUAGCAAGAAAAUAAACCAAUAAUACAUGUCGACUAUACUAA